RNAcentral lists this ribosomal RNA (253 nucleotides) under uncultured bacterium. Its description in RNAcentral is "partial 16S ribosomal RNA". It matches the Rfam family "Bacterial small subunit ribosomal RNA", at positions 524 to 776 of the family's 1533-position model. The record is from RNAcentral.
UACAGAGGGUGCAAGCGUUGUUCGGAAUUAUUGGGCGUAAAGCGCGUGUAGGCGGCUUUGCAAGUCGGGUGUGAAAUCCCUCAGCUCAACUGAGGAAGUGCGCCCGAAACUGCAGAGCUUGAAUAUCGGAGAGGAUGGCGGAAUUCCCCAAGUAGAGGUGAAAUUCGUAGAUAUGGGGAGGAACACCGGUGGCGAAGGCGGCCAUCUGGACGACUAUUGACGCUGAGACGCGAAAGCAUGGGGAGCAAACAGG